AUUGAACGCUGGCGGCAGGCCUAAUACAUGCAAGUAGAACGCAUUUGCGAACGGGUGAGUAUCGCGUAGGUAACUGCCUCAUAGCGGGGGAUAACUAUUUGAAACGAUAGCUAAUACCGCAUACUGUGAGAUGGACCUGCGUUGUAUUAGCUAGUUGGUGAGGGAAAGGGUCACCAAGGCGACGAUACAUAGCCGACCUGAGAGGGAGGACGGCCAAACUGGGACUGGAGAACGGCCCAGACUCCUUCCGGAGGGAGCCGUAGGGGAUCUUGGGGAAAGGAAGGAAGUCUGAACGACCAAAGCCGGGGGGGUGAAGGAGGUUUUCGGAUCGGAAAACUCUGUUGUUAGAGAAGCGGUAGCUAACCAGAAAGGGACGGCUAACUACGUGCCAGCAGCCGCGGUAAUUC
Molecule: ribosomal RNA, 407 nt
Filed under: uncultured bacterium
Lineage: Bacteria
Description: partial 16S ribosomal RNA
Rfam family: Bacterial small subunit ribosomal RNA
Source: RNAcentral